Dermochelys coriacea (leatherback sea turtle) is the source of this 747-nucleotide long non-coding RNA. RefSeq lists it as uncharacterized. NCBI's taxonomy places the organism in Eukaryota, Metazoa, Chordata, Testudines, Dermochelyidae. The transcript has 3 exons. The record is from RefSeq and is a predicted model, not a curated record.
UAGUCAGAGACAGAGCUUCCAGCCACUGGAAAAGCAGGUUGCUGUUCCCUGACUGGCCAGAGCAGGGUCUGCUCCAGGCUAAUGAGAACACCUGACUCCAAUUAACCUGCAAAGAGUCAGGUGAGGCCAUUAAGUUAAUGUGAACACCUGACUCUACUUAAGGCCCUUCUGAUACUAUUAGAGGGCUCACUCCAGUCAGGCUGAGGAGAGCAAGUGCGGCUGAAGGACUGAGUAAUGAUGAUAUCCUCAAGCCAUCACUACUGAUCCAUGAAAGGACCUUCCCUCUUAUGUCAUGACUCCCUACUAUGUGUAAGAGCCUUUGGUGUGGGACACUGUCAAAGGUUUUCUAAAAGUCCAUGUGCACUAUAUCCACAUGGUUGUUGACACACUCAAAGAUUUCUAAUAGAGUGAAUACCAGGGCCGGCUCUACUGUUUUUGCCGCCCCAAGCAGGACGUCUGAAGACAGAAGCUGCCUCCGAUUUGUUGCAGCGGCGCAACCGGCAGAGUAAAGCUGCCACCGAAUUGCCACUGCCGCAGAAAGACGAGUGCCGCCCUGACAGCACACGGACUGCCGCCCCUUUCACAGGGCCGCCCCACGCACGUGCUUGGAAUGCUGGUGCCUGGAGCCAGCCCUGUAGAAUACCAUGUAUCCCUUUUAAUAAAUACUCCUCUAAGUGAGGUCUCUAUCCAAACCAUCUGCUCCUCCACGCAUGUCUGCUUCCUCCAGCCCUGAGUUUAAAAACUCCU